Gossypium hirsutum (cotton) is the source of this 165-nucleotide non-coding RNA. The record is from Rfam. Lineage: Eukaryota; Viridiplantae; Streptophyta; Magnoliopsida; Malvales; Malvaceae.
GCCUCCUAAAGAGUAAUGGAGGUGUGCAAAGGUAGGCUCAAGCUAAGAUUUUGCCUGUGAGCGUAAUAGUGUAAGCCUGCUUGACUAUGAGACCGACUGGUUGAACAUAGACGAAAGUCGGACAUAUUGAUCCGGAAGUCCUGUGUGGAAGGGCUCUCACUCAAU